ACGGUGUUAAAUUCGGUGAGGCUGUAUGGUUCAAGGCUGGAUCCCAGAUCUUCAGCGAGGGUGGUCUUGAUUACUUGGGCAACCCCAGCUUGAUCCACGCACAAAGCAUCUUGGCCAUCUGGGCUUCCCAGGUUGUGUUGAUGGGUGCCGUUGAGGGUUACAGAGUUGCCGGCGGGCCACUAGGAGAGGUGACCGACCCAAUCUACCCAGGUGGAAGCUUUGACCCAUUGGGUUUGGCUGAUGACCCAGAGGCAUUCGCUGAGUUGAAGGUGAAGGAGAUCAAGAACGGUAGAUUGGCUAUGUUCUCUAUGUUUGGAUUCUUUGUUCAGGCCAUUGUUACAGGAAAGGGACCAUUGGAGAACUUGGCUGACCACCUUGCUGAUCCCGUCAACAACAAUGCCUGGGCAUAUGCCACAAACUUUGUCCCCGGAAAGUGAGCUUAAAAAAGGAGAUUUUUU
RNAcentral lists this long non-coding RNA (458 nucleotides) under Ricinus communis (castor bean). RNAcentral's name for it is "long non-coding RNA (RCOM_LNC001794)". Lineage: Eukaryota; Viridiplantae; Streptophyta; Magnoliopsida; Malpighiales; Euphorbiaceae. The record is from RNAcentral.